Molecule: ribosomal RNA, 305 nt
Filed under: uncultured bacterium
Lineage: Bacteria
Description: bacterial SSU rRNA
Rfam family: Bacterial small subunit ribosomal RNA
Source: RNAcentral
UGCGUCCUACGGGGCGCAGCAGAGGGGAAUAUUGGGCAAUAGGCGCAAGCCUGACCCAGCAACGCCGCGUGAAGGAAGAAGGCUUUCGGGUUGUAAACUUCUUUUCUCAGGGACGAAGAAAGUGACGGUACCUGAGGAAUAAGCCACGGCUAACUACGUGCCAGCAGCCGCGGUAAUACGUAGGUGGCAAGCGUUAUCCGGAUCUACUGGGUGUAAAGGGCGUGUAGGCGGGACUGCAAGUCAGAUGUGAAAAUUAUGGGCUCAACCCAUAACCUGCAUUUGAAACUGUAGUUCUUGAGUGAUGG